GACGAACGCUGGCGGCGUGCCUAAUACAUGCAAGUCGAGCGAAGUUUUUCUGGUGCUUGCACCGGAAAAACUUAGCGGCGAACGGGUGAGUAACACGUAAAGAACCUGCCUCAUAGACUGGGACAACUAUUGGAAACGAUAGCUAAUACCGGAUAACAGCAUUAACUGCAUGGUUGAUGUUUGAAAGUUGGUUUUGCUAACACUAUGAGAUGGCUUUGCGGUGCAUUAGCUAGUUGGUGGGGUAAAGGCCUACCAAGGCGACGAUGCAUAGCCGACCUGAGAGGGUGAUCGGCCACACUGGGACUGAGACACGGCCCAGACUCCUACGGGAGGCAGCAGUAGGGAAUCUUCCGCAAUGGGCGAAAGCCUGACGGAGCAACGCCGCGUGAGUGAAGAAGGAUUUCGGUUCGUAAAGCUCUGUUGUUAGGGAAGAAUGAUUGUGUAGUAACUAUACACAGUAGAGACGGUACCUAACCAGAAAGCCACGGCUAACUACGUGCCAGCAGCCGCGGUAAUACGUAGGUGGCAAGCGUUGUCCGGAAUUAUUGGGCGUAAAGCGCGCGCAGGUGGUUUAAUAAGUCUGAUGUGAAAGCCCACGGCUCAACCGUGGAGGGUCAUUGGAAACUGUUAAACUUGAGUGCAGGAGAGAAAAGUGGAAUUCCUAGUGUAGCGGUGAAAUGCGUAGAGAUUAGGAGGAACACCAGUGGCGAAGGCGGCUUUUUGGCCUGUAACUGACACUGAGGCGCGAAAGCGUGGGGAGCAAACAGG
RNAcentral lists this ribosomal RNA (768 nucleotides) under uncultured bacterium. Its description in RNAcentral is "bacterial SSU rRNA". It matches the Rfam family "Bacterial small subunit ribosomal RNA", at positions 28 to 776 of the family's 1533-position model. The record is from RNAcentral.